Molecule: ribosomal RNA, 479 nt
Filed under: uncultured bacterium
Lineage: Bacteria
Description: bacterial SSU rRNA
Rfam family: Bacterial small subunit ribosomal RNA
Source: RNAcentral
GAUGAACGCUAGCGGGAGGCCUAACACAUGCAAGCCGAGCGGUAUUGUUUCUUCGGAAAUGAGAGAGCGGCGUACGGGUGCGGAACACGUGUGCAACCUGCCUUUAUCUGGGGGAUAGCCUUUCGAAAGGAAGAUUAAUACUCCAUAACAUAUUGAACGGCAUCGUUUGAUAUUGAAAGCUCCGGCGGAUAUAGAUGGGCACGCGCAAGAUUAGCUAGUUGGUGAGGUAACGGCUCACCAAGGCGAUGAUCUUUAGGGGGCCUGAGAGGGUGAUCCCCCACACUGGUACUGAGACACGGACCAGACUCCUACGGGAGGCAGCAGUGAGGAAUAUUGGUCAAUGGGUGCAAGCCUGAACCAGCCAUCCCGCGUGAAGGAUUAAGGUCCUAUGGAUUGUAAACUUCUUUUGUAUAGGGAUAAACCUACCCUCGUGAGGGUAGCUGAAGGUACUAUACGAAUAAGCACCGGCUAACUCCGUG